UACAGAGGUCUCAAGCGUUGUUCGGAUUCAUUGGGCGUAAAGGGUGCGUAGGCGGCGCGGUAAGUCGGGUGUGAAAUCUCGGAGCUUAACUCCGAAACUGCAUUCGAUACUACCGUGCUUGAGGACUGGAGAGGAGACUGGAAUUCAUGGUGUAGCAGUGAAAUGCGUAGAGAUCAUGAGGAAGACCAGUGGCGAAGGCGGGUCUCUGGACAGUUCCUGACACUGAGACACGAAGGCCAGGGGAGCAAACGGG
RNAcentral lists this ribosomal RNA (253 nucleotides) under uncultured bacterium. Its description in RNAcentral is "partial 16S ribosomal RNA". It matches the Rfam family "Bacterial small subunit ribosomal RNA", at positions 524 to 776 of the family's 1533-position model. The record is from RNAcentral.